Molecule: ribosomal RNA, 1501 nt
Filed under: Klebsiella pneumoniae
Lineage: Bacteria; Pseudomonadati; Pseudomonadota; Gammaproteobacteria; Enterobacterales; Enterobacteriaceae
Description: bacterial SSU rRNA
Rfam family: Bacterial small subunit ribosomal RNA
Source: RNAcentral
GUUUGAUUCUGGCUCAGAUUGAACGGUGGCGGCAGGCCUAACACAUGCAAGUCGAGCGGUAGCACAGAGAGCUUGCUCUCGGGUGACGAGCGGCGGACGGGUGAGUAAUGUCUGGGAAACUGCCUGAUGGAGGCGGAUAACUACUGGAAACGGUAGCUAAUACCGCAUAACGUCGCAAGACCAAAGUGGGGGACCUUCGGGCCUCAUGCCAUCAGAUGUGCCCAGAUGGGAUUAGCUGGUAGGUGGGGUAACGGCUCACCUAGGCGACGAUCCCUAGCUGGUCUGAGAGGAUGACCAGCCACACUGGAACUGAGACACGGUCCAGACUCCUACGGGAGGCAGCAGUGGGGAAUAUUGCACAAUGGGCGCAAGCCUGAUGCAGCCAUGCCGCGUGUGUGAAGAAGGCCUUCGGGUUGUAAAGCACUUUCAGCGGGGAGGAAGGCGGUGAGGUUAAUAACCUCAUCGAUUGACGUUACCCGCAGAAGAAGCACCGGCUAACUCCGUGCCAGCAGCCGCGGUAAUACGGAGGGUGCAAGCGUUAAUCGGAAUUACUGGGCGUAAAGCGCACGCAGGCGGUCUGUCAAGUCGGAUGUGAAAUCCCCGGGCUCAACCUGGGAACUGCAUUCGAAACUGGCAGGCUAGAGUCUUGUAGAGGGGGGUAGAAUUCCAGGUGUAGCGGUGAAAUGCGUAGAGAUCUGGAGGAAUACCGGUGGCGAAGGCGGCCCCCUGGACAAAGACUGACGCUCAGGUGCGAAAGCGUGGGGAGCAAACAGGAUUAGAUACCCUGGUAGUCCACGCUGUAAACGAUGUCGAUUUGGAGGUUGUGCCCUUGAGGCGUGGCUUCCGGAGCUAACGCGUUAAAUCGACCGCCUGGGGAGUACGGCCGCAAGGUUAAAACUCAAAUGAAUUGACGGGGGCCCGCACAAGCGGUGGAGCAUGUGGUUUAAUUCGAUGCAACGCGAAGAACCUUACCUGGUCUUGACAUCCACAGAACUUUCCAGAGAUGGAUUGGUGCCUUCGGGAACUGUGAGACAGGUGCUGCAUGGCUGUCGUCAGCUCGUGUUGUGAAAUGUUGGGUUAAGUCCCGCAACGAGCGCAACCCUUAUCCUUUGUUGCCAGCGGUUCGGCCGGGAACUCAAAGGAGACUGCCAGUGAUAAACUGGAGGAAGGUGGGGAUGACGUCAAGUCAUCAUGGCCCUUACGACCAGGGCUACACACGUGCUACAAUGGCAUAUACAAAGAGAAGCGACCUCGCGAGAGCAAGCGGACCUCAUAAAGUAUGUCGUAGUCCGGAUUGGAGUCUGCAACUCGACUCCAUGAAGUCGGAAUCGCUAGUAAUCGUAGAUCAGAAUGCUACGGUGAAUACGUUCCCGGGCCUUGUACACACCGCCCGUCACACCAUGGGAGUGGGUUGCAAAAGAAGUAGGUAGCUUAACCUUCGGGAGGGCGCUUACCACUUUGUGAUUCAUGACUGGGGUGAAGUCGUAACAAGGUAACCGUA